RNAcentral lists this ribosomal RNA (506 nucleotides) under uncultured bacterium. Its description in RNAcentral is "bacterial SSU rRNA". It matches the Rfam family "Bacterial small subunit ribosomal RNA", at positions 28 to 570 of the family's 1533-position model. The record is from RNAcentral.
AACGAACGCUGGCGGCAUGCCUAACACAUGCAAGUCGAACGGGAUCCAUCCUUCGGGGUGGUGAGAGUGGCGGACGGGUGAGUAACGCGUGGGAACCUGCCCAGUGGUGGGGGAUAACUGCGGGAAACUGCAGCUAAUACCGCAUGAGCCCGAGAGGGGAAAGAUUUAUCGCCAUUGGAGGGGCCCGCGUUCGAUUAGGUAGUUGGUGGGGUAAUGGCCUACCAAGCCGACGAUCGAUAGCUGGUCUGAGAGGAUGAUCAGCCACACUGGGACUGAGAUACGGCCCAGACUCCUACGGGAGGCAGCAGUGGGGAAUAUUGGACAAUGGGGGCAACCCUGAUCCAGCAAUGCCGCGUGAGUGAUGAAGGCCUUAGGGUUGUAAAGCUCUUUUGCCAGGGACGAUGAUGACGGUACCUGGAGAAUAAGCCCCGGCUAACUUCGUGCCAGCAGCCGCGGUAAUACGAAGGGGGCAAGCGUUGUUCGGAAUUACUGGGCGUAAAGGGCGC